Molecule: long non-coding RNA, 763 nt
Organism: Xyrauchen texanus (razorback sucker)
Lineage: Eukaryota; Metazoa; Chordata; Actinopteri; Cypriniformes; Catostomidae
Exons: 2
Source: RefSeq, a predicted model, not a curated record
UAUGUGAAAGUUUAGGUACAGCUGCCAGGUGCUUUGAAAUGAUGCAACAAGAGUCUGUGGAUAUUUAUUGAUGUAAUAAUGUGAUUUGGACUAAACAUUUUACUUGAUUUGAUCGUUUGGACAUUUGACAAUGAAACAACACCGUUUUUGUCGGGAAGUUAUGGAUCAGUGGAAUGCUAUGAGGCUUCAUAGAGAAUCAAAAUCAAACUGACUUGGAAAUGAGGGUGAAUAAAAAGGCUUUUUGAAGAAAACGAUUUUUUAAAAAAGUUGUCAUAUAGAAUGAACAUGUUUGCUUUGAGGGCUUUAUUUUUCUGCACUGGAAUCAGUACACAGUGUAGCACCAAACAACAGACAGCAGAUCCAGUCUUCUGAUAGCAGCAUUCUUUUGAGAGCCUGCAAAAAAGAAAACCAUGACAUCCAGCAGGUAAGAAGCACCAUCACUAGAGGACUUGGAGAUUGUUUUAUUUUGUUAGAUUUUCCCAUGUGUACUGCUGUGCAUUGGUAAAUCAAAUGAAUAAUUAAAAAUAACAAUUUUAUAAAAAUACCAGCUCAAAAUGUGCUGGUGUUUAAUUAAAGAGAUCAGCAGGUGACCUGUGUUCAGGAACACCAGAGGAAACAACAUGGGAGCAGAUCUCAUUUGGAGUCCUGUAAUUUGGGUUAUCUUACACACACACACACACACACACACACACACACACACACACACACACACACACACACACACACACACACACACACACACACACACACACACACACACACA